AGUUUUGAGCUAAAUAUAUUUUAAAUAUUAGUUACUUUAUGAAGGUGUUGUAAAACCUUAUUAAAAAAUAUAUUUAGGGGUGAUAGGCUUUUCAAAAACUAAGAUAUCUUGAAUCUAAUUAAAAGUAUGUAGUACAUUAAACACAACUAUUAAGUGAUUAGGCUUUAUAGAAUUAUUAACUUAUAAGAUUUUAUUUACUAUAAUUUAAUAUUUAAGUUCAUAAAUAUAUUAAUAUUCAUAUAUUUUAGUUUAUAAUAGAGUAAUUUGAUAGAUUUAAGUUUUUAUUUCUUAUAAUAAUGUUAAUAUUAGUAUUAAGUUUAUAUUUAUAUGAUGAACUCGGCAAAAAUACUUCUCAACUGUUUAUCAAAAACAUAACUAUGUGAAUAAAUACAUAGCGGUUUCUGCUCAAUGAAUAAAUUAAAUAGCCGCAGUAUACUGACUGUGCAAAGGUAGCAUAAUCAAUUGACUUAUAAUUGAAGUCUAGAAUGAAUGAAAUAAUGGGAAACUACUAUAUUUUAUAAAUAUAUAUAAUUUAUUUAUGAAGUGAAAAUACUUCUAUAAAAAUAAUAGACGAGAAGACCCUAGAAAUUUUUAGUAAUUAAAAUUAUAUUUGAGAAAUUUUUUGUUGGGGCGACAAAGUAGCAUAUUAACCUACUAAGAUUAAACUUGCACUUUUUUAAUUGUUUGAAAAAAUUACUCUAGGGAUAACAGCAUAAUAUUUAAAAGUUUAUGACCUCGAUGUUGGAUUAGGAAAUAAUAACUUAAAAGGUUUUUUAUAUUGCUCUGUUCGAGCAUCAACUCCUACAUGAUC
Molecule: ribosomal RNA, 811 nt
Filed under: Mandarina hahajimana
Lineage: Eukaryota; Metazoa; Mollusca; Gastropoda; Stylommatophora; Camaenidae
Description: partial 16S ribosomal RNA
Source: RNAcentral